AAUUCGGCCUUUAUUCCUCUUCAAGUCUUCAAUCUGCAAGAUCUCCGAGGGAGGCGAGCGGUCCGCGACCCACCACUUGGGCAUUUUCAUCUUCAAUCUGCGUGGUCACUGAAGAAUUAUCUCCUCUUCAAUCUGUGAGGGAGGAGAGCAGUUCACCGUCCCACCACUUCCGCCUUUUCCUCUAUGAUCGAUUGAUCGCGCGGUGUCUUCAUCUGCCCUUUGAGCUGCAAGGUCACAAAGGGAAGCCAGGGGAGAGUACGCCCAGUCGGCAGAUCACAGGGAACCCCAUUCCAAGGUGAGUUUAUCUGGCGUUGACUUGAUUUCCCCCAUUUUAUUUGGGGUUGUGCAGGAAAGGGUGGACUGCAUGCUGGAGAAGAUUGAUCUGGUCAUCAGAAUGGUCAUCUCUAUUUUGACUUCAAGGAGAAUGAAUCCAUCGUCAAAUGUAUUUUGUUAUCUUUCCAUGCCUUUUUUCUAAGUUUUUUCUGAUGUUUAUGGUCGGAUUUUCAUAGUUGGUUUGAGUGGCGAGAAUCUACUGGGCAGAACAGCAAAUCAAUUGUUUGCUGAAUCAAUAUUCAGAUUGGAAAUCAUUCAGUGAUUUUGCUGGUACUGUUUUAAGUUCUCCCCUGAUGCGGCCAUGAAGCUCGAAGGUAAUCGUCGCCGCCGGCCGGCCGGUAAUUUCUUUGCUGGUAGCAAUAAUUCCAUUGCACGAUGGUCAAGUGCCCACCACUUCGUACGUGCCUUUUUUUAUAUUCAGUUCAUCUCCUUACCUAUUUGUAUAUCACUGUAUGCUGAAUAGCGAGUUGGUUUCAGUAAGUGAGUACGCAAUGGGUUUUGAUUUUGGGCCACUGCACAUGCAUGUUUUUCUUUAUCUUCUACUUCUAUUUGCAUAUCAGAUCAUUGAUCCGAUCCACAUGACUCUUGCAGUAUCAUAAAUCAAGUCCAUUGACAAUUUGUCAUUACAACUUUCUUAAUAAUUCAUUCGCCUCUAUUAAUUCUUCAGACUGCAGGGAAUGUUCAUACGCAAGCAAGACUAAACCUUUGCUUGCGGACGACUGGGCUGGUUAGAUGUUAUGAUCAGUCAUUGCAUGACUAUUCUCCCACUUUUAUUUCAGAUUCCUCUCAGGGAAACCUUCAAUACUGUUUAAUUUGAUUUCAAGUCCUUUCAGCUCUUGCAUGUAUCAUACUUUUUCAACUUUGCAAAGAUGAAAUCUACAUCUUGCCACUCUCCAUCUCAUGGAAGCUAUAUUUCUGUUUACUUUCUCCCAAUGAGUUACUUUCAUAUGACAAUUUUCAAGGUUCUGGAUGGAUCAUAAAUAAAGCGUCUUCAAUAAUCUUAUCCCUAAUGUUUUCAUGGGCUUUGGUUAAUUCUCUUGAAGCAUGGUGAGUUACAGUAGGUGUGCAUUAUCUAUGUAUGAUUGAGCCUAUCAGAUUCUGUAAGUCGGCACUACUUUCUUUUUUGCUGCAGAAUGUUUUUUUGGGAAAUCUGUUUCAAUCCAUAUUCAUUUAUUUCUGUUCUAGACUACGGCGAAAUUAGUUGCUCAGUUUCUUCAAAAGCUUUUAUAUGUCAUGAUAUUUCGUUGUUUGGUAUAAUUAAAAUGGAGACCAAGAGGAGAGCGUUGCGAGGAGAACAACUGUCUACAUAUACUCAAUGUGAACUUUUGAAGGUGUUUAUUGGCACAUUUUUAAAAUAAUGCACACUUCCAUUUGAACAUCUUGAUUAAAUAAUUUGGUUGAUUUCGGUGACAGGUGUACAUUGCAAGAUGUAACUAUUUAUAUAUAUGUAUUACUGUACCGUAAGAAAAUUUUGAUUUCAGUAAUACACAACCAAUGUAUCACAAGUAAUUUAUACAAUGAUUUGUAAGCAAUAACUCAUUGAUCCCGUGGGCUUAUGUAUUGUUGCUUAUUUUAUCUUUUCUUAUCCCCUUGCUGAAACAUGUUUUGUUGGGUCAGUCAAUUGAUCUUAGAAAGAUAGUUAGUUAAAUAGAAAAUCAAAUUUGAUGUCAGGUGCAUAUGCCCGAUUUACUUAAACAAAUUAGAAUGUUAAAAUAUUCAGAUAAUUUUUGCCUGCAUAUCUACACAUUUUUUGUGCGCACAUAAUAUUUCACUGAAAACCUAGAACUUUUGUACCCUGUAACAAAAAAAUAUAUCUCUAGAAAUGUCUUAUUUUUAGCACUGAAUUUUAUCAUUUUACACGGGAUGCACAAAAAGUUGAUUUUUGCUGACACAACUUUGUGAGCGUGUAGGAUCUGGAGAUAUGCGCAUAAUAUUUAAUUUUAAUUUUUUAACAUGUUUAAAAUGCAUUUCAAAUAAAGGGAGCAUAUAUAGCUGGAACCCAAAAGGCUGAUACAUACAUGAUGCUCUUUGUCUUAAAUUUGAGCCAAGCUCAUAGUUGAUUUAAAAGGGGUGUUAAUUGGUUAACACGAUCCUUGCUAUUAUAUCCCGUCUAUAAGUUACAUGCUAGAACAUAGGUUGUUUCAAAAAAAUUACUGAACAGAAUAUUUCUUUUAUUUAUGCAAUUAUCCCGCAGCACCGCGCGUGGUAUCAUCUAGUUUUAUAAAUUUAUAAUACCCCGACAAAAACGUUGCUGGUAGCUCUGCAAAAAAAAUUUGCAUGUACAAUUAAUAUGCUAUAAGAUAGAGGCGAGAGAUAAUGAAAAUAAGUUGCAGAAAACAUCCAUAUUGCGCUCAAGUAACUUGCCUGAUAUAUUAUUUAGUUUCAUUUUCAUCUCCUGGGAUAGUACAAUUGCUUUUUUUCAUGUGGAACCGGUAAGUUUCAGAUAAAAAUUAUUUAUGUAGACUUUGCAUAUUGCUCUACCAUUUUAUGAACAUUACAGUAACUAUUCAGCUUUACCAAUAGGGCCUGACAACUUUUCUUAGUUAGGCAACAACACUAGCACUCUUCAACAUAAGUGGAAAUUUCAUGAUUUUCCAUUGAGUCAGUUAUGUGAAAAGCAUGGAAACAAGCUAACAUGGAGUCAUGUAAGUUCACCGAUAGGAUGGUGUCUACAAUUUGCAUAUUCCUAUAGUUUUGUGUACAUGUACAUUUUGGCCAAAAUCCGUCUCUCCUGACUCAUCGAAAAAGGCAGCGGCACCGUGACAGCUUUAGUCUACGUACAAAUUCUUCUCAGCAACUCAUUACUUUCCACAUGAUUUCUGGAUGGCAAGUUAACAUAUUUAUUUAGCCCAUGGGUGCAUAUUUAAAAUAUCAGUGCCCUAGAGCAGAACUCUGCAUAUUACUUACAGAAGUUUAUGAGUGAUCUAGCGAUGUUCACCACGGACGCUUCGUAAGGUAUCACAUCUAUUCACCUGACCUCUGAAUGCAUAAACCUGCACUUAUUACCUCAUUCCUCCCUUUAAUGCACUUUCUUAGAUAUUUUGAGAUGUAGGCUUAAGAACAUAUGAGUGCAGAUUUUUCCCACGCUGCUCAUGUAAAUAGUUUCAUAUGUUCAGAUUAUAUCCAUAAUAUCUUCAGCAAUUUUUAUGGGAUAUAAUUAUGGCGUUUGAAUCUACAUUUAUUGUCCUUCUUCUAUUUAAAAAAUAACUCCUUUGAGAUAUCUAACAUUGUAUACUCCUGUUUUCAACAAUUAUAGUUUCAGAACCUUUUGGAGGGAUAUCUUUUGUGUGCAUUGUAGACCAAUCUUUGCUGCGGAUUUUCCCCUCUUUCCCAGCCAUACAGGUUAGUCAACUUGACAUGGGUUUAUUUCUCCUCGAGAUGUAAAAUAUUUGUCUGUUUUCUUUAAACCAGACUACCCGGAACCAAAUCACACGGGAAAUACAUUGCUGAAACAAAUGAUUCUGAAGAAAAAAAAUAAGGUCAAUGCAUAUUUCAUAUUAAAUGACCAAAUAAUAUUCUCACGCUUAAUUGUUAAAUUGAUUUGACCAUAAAUUGGUGUCUCAAAAAAUUCACUCCUGUAUAUUAAUAUUUGGAUUUAUGAUGUCAAUAAGGAAAUAAUUGCUUAGUCAGUAUUGCGUACUAAUAUAGCAAUGUUCUGAUAAUAUCCUUCUCAACCCUCCAUAGAUUGAAAAGCAUAAUUUCUUUUUGUCAUCCAAUCUAAUGACUAUACUAUUGAUUAUGAAUAAUCUGCAGAGUAAUCGCAUUUGUAAUCCUACUCUCACUAGGGGAGAGCACAGAUGUACCGACGGCCAUCGUGUAUGCCGACGGCUAAAUAUCGGGGCCGUUGGCACAGAAACCUCCGGACCGCGGCGACAAGGAUGGCCGUCGGCGUUUAAAUGACCGUCGGUACAAGCCGGUUGUGCCGACGGCCACCGUCGGCACAGGACCAGUCUAGCCGUCGGCACAACAUGUUUUUUUCUUUUUUUUACUACAGACCUGUGCCGACGGUUAUACCGUCGGCAUAACUUUUUUCUAUUUCUGCACGAUAGUUUUCAAAAAAGCAUAACUAAAUCAUUCUAAUUGAGAAAAAUAAGUAUAAUAUAUCAAAUUUUGCAGAAAAACAAGAUCUAUCAUAGAAAAAUAUAAAAAAUGGAAUAUUUCAAAUACCUAAACAAAUCUUCUUGAAAUGAGCUAUAAUGUUCAAGGAUUCAUGGCUUUCACACACGCCAAAAAUGAAAAAAUUGUCGCGCCUGGGUCGGAUUAGAAAUCCGCGUCUGGGGUCUUGCUUCCCAUCCUAGGGUCCACACAUAUGCCAAAUAUGAUCUCGUUUCGGUAAACUAUGCCAUGCCGAGGCUGUUUCCCACCUCAUUUCCCCUGAAAUCCAUAGAACUCCGGACGUGAUAGCCCUUUUCGUGAAGGGUUUUUCAAAAUAAUUUCCGUAUCCCAGUUUUGACAAACGGAACAGUUACUAUGACUUAUAAAAUGACUUCACGCGGCUCCGUGGGAUUUUUGGACUUCGUUCAAAUUGCCAUUUGGCCAAAACAGGACCCCCGUGACAUGCGGUAUCACCGUACCGGGCGUGCGGGUACGUGCACCCAUUCACGAACAAACUGAACGGACAAAAAUUAGCACAUAUAAUGAUGCGUCGUUGAACUAAAAACAAUUUUUUCGGAAUUUCUGGAGCGACUGAUAGUUCACCCCUAGUUCAAAUCCGGUCAGUUUCCAGCGGAUUUGGCGGGACACCGCCGAAGGCCGCAUGGGUUCCCAAAAAGCUAACGAGUGCACAUGUCAUGUGAUAGGUGGUGUGUAGGUGGUCUACAAUCAUCGCACGGAGGUUUCACGUCAUACUAAAAUGUGUCCCAUGUAGCCGCUUCACAAAUAAAAACCGUUUGGGCACGUUAAAAAUGAAAAGAUGGUCGCUCGUGGGUCGGAUUAGAAAUCCGCGUCCGGAGUCUUGCCCCCAUCCUAGGGUCCACACACGUCCCAAAUAUGAUCUCGUUUCGGCUAACUAUGCCAUGCCGAGGCCGUUUCCCACCUCAUUUCCCCUGAAAUCCAUAGAACUCCGGACGUGAUAGCCCUUUUCGUGAAGGGUUUUUCAAAAUAAUUGCCGUAUCCCAGUUUUAACAAACGGAAUAGUUACUAUGACAUAUAAAAUGACGUCACGCGGCUCCGUGGGAUUUUUUUGACUUCGUUCAAAUUGCCAACUGGCCAAAACAGGACCCCUGGGACAUGCGGUAUCGCCGUACCGGGCGUGCGGCUGCACCCAUUCGCGAACAAACUAAACGGACAAAAAUUAGCACAUAUAGUGAUGCGUCGUUGAACUAAAAACAUUUUUUUCGGAUUUUCUGGAGCGACGGAUAGUUCACCCUUAGUUCAAAUCCGGUCAGUUUCCAGCGGAUUCAGCGGGACACCGCCGGAAGCCACAUGGGUUCCCCAAAGCUAACGCGUGCACAUGUCAUGUGAUAGGUGGUGUGUAGGUGGUCUACUAUCAUGGCACGGAGGUUUCACAUAAUACUAAAAUGCGCCCCAUGUAGUUGCUUCACAAAUAAAAACCGUUUGGGCACGCUAAAAAUGAAAAUAUGGCUGUCCGUGGGUCGGAUUUGAAAUCCGCGUCCGAGGUCUUGCUUUCCAUCCUAGGGUCCACACACGUGCCAAAUAUGACCUUGUUUCGGGAAACUAUGCCAUGCCGAGGCCGUUUCCCACCUUAUUUUUUAUAAAGUCAGUCAAAUUUAAUCUAGAGGUACUUGAUCUAAUGCUCAUGAUUUUUGGGUAAGUUAACUUUGUAGGUUCAAAAGAUGAUAUGGAUGUCAUAUCAUAUUUGUAUUCCUCUCAUUUUUCUGAUCAAUUUAGACAUAUUAUUUGCCAAAUUCGCAUUUACUGAUAUUAAUUAUUCCAUAUUAAAUAAAAAGACAAAAAAAUAAAAUCAUUUAAUUGUUUUUUCAAAUUCUAUAUUAUUAUUAUUUAUAUAUAUUCAUUAUUGUUUACUUAAGUAAUUGUUUAGAAUUCAAAAAUAUAGAGGUGUGACAUCGCGAUCAAAGGAUUAAUAUGAUAGAUAUGGUAAUAUUAACAUCAAGAUGUCAUUUCUUUCAUGGAAGCUCAUCCGGGGCCGCGUAGUGUGAGGAUGGGUGGCCAACUGGAAGUUUGACCACAAGUGCAAAUUAACCUAAGAUUAAGUAUACUAAGUGUGAUUUUGAAAGAUUAGCAAGUAAAAAUGUAGAAGAAGAAAACUAAAAAAUAUUUUUUUUCAAAAAAAAUUUGAAUAUUUUUUCGAAAAUAAAUUUGAAAAUUUUGAAAUACUAUGCCGACGGUUACCGUCGGCACAACAAUGUGUGCUGACGGCCAGUCUGUGCCGACGGUGAUUGGGCAGUCCCCGACCAGAACUAUGCCGACGGCGCUACGUCGACGGUCACCGUCGCCACAGCCUGUGCCGACGGCCUUCUGAGCUGUGCCGACGGCUGGCGGCCGUCGGCAUACUACAUCUCUCCCGUAGUGUCUUUGUGCUCUAAAAUUUAAGAUUUCAAGCUAUGACCUACAAAUGUGAAGUUUCUCCACAAUAACACGAUAGAUGAAACUGUAUAUUUGUGUGUGUUUCACAAGCAGCAAAUAAUUGAAAGAAGUGUAUACAUCUCGAGGAGAAAAAAUUCCAUGGAAAGUAUGAAGUGCAAAUGCGUAUUUAGUAUUACCAGCACGUUCGUAAAAUAGCUAGCCCGUGAGGUAGCACGGGUUGAUGACUAGUUUACAUAAUUGUAAACGGAGGGAGUAUAUCGUUGAUUUGGCAGCUGUUCUCCAAACAGCUGUUAACAGUUACUGCACUUGUGUAAGACAAUAUAUACACCAGAUAUUGUAUCAGCAAUUAACCAGUAGAUUGUUUUGGGUCAUUUCUCUCUACGAUUCAUUUGUGGUAAUACUAUUUUCCAUGUUAAUUAAUGAUAGCUUACCUAUGAGCAAUGGUCGGCAUCUGGAGUAGUGAGAAAUUCUGGGGACUGUGUGAAUAAUACGUCAAUAGAUCAUGGAAUUAAAGUGCACAUGCAUGGUUCAAACAACAUUUUAUUCUCUCCGGUUGGUUUUUUUCUUCCAAUGAGUCACCUCAUCACAUGUGAAAGUGAAGUUCUAAUACAUAAUUGGAG
Non-coding RNA from Lolium perenne, 7460 nucleotides. The record is from RefSeq and is a predicted model, not a curated record. Lineage: Eukaryota; Viridiplantae; Streptophyta; Magnoliopsida; Poales; Poaceae.